RNAcentral lists this ribosomal RNA (327 nucleotides) under uncultured eukaryote. RNAcentral's name for it is "partial 18S ribosomal RNA". It matches the Rfam family "Eukaryotic small subunit ribosomal RNA", at positions 1470 to 1796 of the family's 1831-position model. The record is from RNAcentral.
CCCUUAGAUGUUCUGGGCCGCACGCGCGCUACACUGACGAUGUCAGAGAGUGUCUCCUUCACCGAGAGGUGUGGGUAAUCUUUUAAACAUCGUCGUGCUGGGGAUAGAUCAUUGCAAUUUUUGAUCUUAAACGAGGAAUUCCUAGUAAGCGCGAGUCAUCAGCUCGCGCUGAUUACGUCCCUGCCCUUUGUACACACCGCCCGUCGCUACUACCGAUUGAAUGGUUUAGUGAGGCCUUCUGACUGGCGCCGCUACGCUGGCAACAGAGCGGCGGAUGCCGGGAAGUUGGUCAAACUUGAUCAUUUAGAGGAAGUAAAAGUCGUAACA